CUCUUACACAGGCUGACCGAUCUCUCCUGGUGUUCAGAGUCUGUUUCUGUCUAGCACCAUUUGAAAUCGGUUAUGAUGUAGGGGGA
RNAcentral lists this microRNA precursor (86 nucleotides) under Sorex araneus (European shrew). RNAcentral's name for it is "miRNA (ENSSARG00000015726.1)". The stretch from base 11 to 76 matches the Rfam family "mir-29 microRNA precursor family". From Rfam's summary of the family: This family represents the microRNA (miRNA) precursors mir-29. Lineage: Eukaryota; Metazoa; Chordata; Mammalia; Eulipotyphla; Soricidae. The record is from RNAcentral.